RNAcentral lists this microRNA (22 nucleotides) under Schistosoma japonicum. RNAcentral's name for it is "sja-miR-133". Its record names the gene sja-miR-133. Lineage: Eukaryota; Metazoa; Platyhelminthes; Trematoda; Strigeidida; Schistosomatidae. The record is from miRBase by way of RNAcentral.
UUGGUCCCUAUCAACCAGCUGU